This 463-nucleotide ribosomal RNA is filed under the name uncultured bacterium. Its description in RNAcentral is "bacterial SSU rRNA". It matches the Rfam family "Bacterial small subunit ribosomal RNA", at positions 30 to 539 of the family's 1533-position model. The record is from RNAcentral.
CGAACGCUGGCGGCAUGCCUAACACAUGCAAGUCGAACGAAGGCUUCGGCCUUAGUGGCGGACGGGUGAGUAACGCGUGAGAAUCUGCCCUCAGGAGGGGGAUAACGGCUGGAAACGGCCGCUAAUACCCCAUAUGCCGCGAGGUGAAAUGAAUUUCGCCUGAGGAUGAGCUCGCGUCUGAUUAGCUAGUUGGUGGGGUAAGAGCCUACCAAGGCAUCGAUCAGUAGCUGGUCUGAGAGGAUGAUCAGCCACACUGGGACUGAGACACGGCCCAGACUCCUACGGGAGGCAGCAGUGGGGAAUUUUCCGCAAUGGGCGCAAGCCUGACGGAGCAACGCCGCGUGAGGGAUGAAGGCCUCUGGGCUGUAAACCUCUUUUAUCAAGGAAGAAGAUCUGACGGUACUUGAUGAAUAAGCCACGGCUAAUUCCGCGCCAGCAGCCGCGGUAAUCUGAUGGCGCGAGG